GUACUCUCACGCUUUGGAUCCUUUGGAUUUGGAGUGGUGGACUUGGGUGUUGCUGCUUUGCAGCGGCUCACCCCAAAUGCAUGCGUGCAACUCCUGGUUGGACAUAGUACGGCGUGAUAAGUGUCUUCGCCGGCACCUCGCAAGAGGGUGGCUGAUCGGGAGCUCUGUGCUUUCGAACCGUCCUUGGACAAUGACUGACA
Molecule: unclassified non-coding RNA, 200 nt
Filed under: uncultured Sebacina
Lineage: Eukaryota; Fungi; Basidiomycota; Agaricomycetes; Sebacinales; Sebacinaceae
Description: sequence contains ITS2
Source: RNAcentral